Molecule: transfer RNA, 67 nt
Filed under: Nerita insculpta
Lineage: Eukaryota; Metazoa; Mollusca; Gastropoda; Cycloneritida; Neritidae
Description: tRNA-Cys
Source: RNAcentral
GGCUUUAUAGUUGAUUUUAACAAUAUUGAAUUGCAAGUUCAAAGGUGAGAAAACAUCUCUAAAGCUU